CAGUCGCCACGGGAAUACGUAGGGUGCGAGCGUUAAUCGGAAUUACUGGGCGUAAAGCGGGCGCAGACGGUUACUUAAGCAGGAUGUGAAAUCCCCGGGCUCAACCUGGGAACUGCGUUCUGAACUGGGUAACUAGAGUGUGUCAGAGGGAGGUUGAAUUCCACGUGUAGCAGUGAAAUGCGUAGAGAUGUGGAGGAAUACCGAUGGCGAAGGCAGCCUCCUGGGAUAACACUGACGUUCAUGCCCGAAAGCGUGGGUAGCAAACAGGAUUAGAUACCCCAGUAGUCCCUGUCUCUUAUAC
Molecule: ribosomal RNA, 301 nt
Filed under: uncultured bacterium
Lineage: Bacteria
Description: partial 16S ribosomal RNA
Rfam family: Bacterial small subunit ribosomal RNA
Source: RNAcentral